Molecule: long non-coding RNA, 868 nt
Organism: Cylas formicarius (sweet potato weevil)
Lineage: Eukaryota; Metazoa; Arthropoda; Insecta; Coleoptera; Brentidae
Exons: 4
Source: RefSeq, a predicted model, not a curated record
UUAAAAUCUGACUAACGUCUAGCUAGCCGAUGAACUUCGCACCCGAUGUGAAAUCGUUACUCAUUAAUCACCGACAUCUGCCUUUAGCAGGUUGGAAUCUCGUCAAAUUUACUGUCAGGUCAGCCGCUUCCAAAAUCUAAGCGAGCGUCUUAAAGUGGUACUUUACGCAGGCUUGAUCGAGUAUAAUUGGAUAUGCAUUUUACGUGGAUUAUAGGCAAUUCAACAUACAACCAAACGAAAUAAAUGUAUUUAAAGUGAAGGGGAACUAAAAGUGAGCGCCAUCGUCCAACGGGCUUCUGAAGUAGCGCAAUUUUAUCGAAAUAGUAAUCUGUAUGGAUAUAUAAUACACGUUUCUCUGGUUGCCUUACAAAUUUUUCCGUUCGAACCUUUUUUUUUAUAUUGCAGGCGUUAAGUUCGCUUGUCAUUGAAAUUUUACUCGUGGUUGAUAAAGGCAAAGUUUAAACGUGAAGACGUUUUCGAGUUAGGAGGUUGGAGUUGCAAGGUUCCAAGACUUAAAUAUGAGAAUUCGCCAAGAGGUAGAAAGAGAAUGCAACAGCUGCGGGUCGAAAAGUGUUGGGAAAAUUGAAACGAUAUAUUCAGCCAAAGAUGAUCCUUAGUAUCAAGUUAUAGGAAUAUGGUAUACCAUUUGUUGAGGAUUUUAAUGGUUUUGCAGAGUAUUUAAUAAAAUAUAGGUUGUUGUUUUUGUUUAAAUUAAAUUUUAAUUAUAUUUGUUCCCACCGGCAUAAUCACAUAUUUUGAACGCGCAUUACAAAGUGGACUUGUCUUCAUAAAACAAUUUCAUAAAUAAAUAAAAUAGUGUAUUAUGAAACACGUUCAUAAAAAUCUUCAUACCCUCGCUCCACUGUUG